This 74-nucleotide transfer RNA is filed under the name Pteropus alecto (black flying fox). It matches the Rfam family "tRNA". From Rfam's summary of the family: Transfer RNA (tRNA) molecules are approximately 80 nucleotides in length. Their secondary structure includes four short double-helical elements and three loops (D, anti-codon, and T loops). RNAcentral also lists the same sequence under 1 other name. The record is from Rfam by way of RNAcentral. Lineage: Eukaryota; Metazoa; Chordata; Mammalia; Chiroptera; Pteropodidae.
GGGCCCAUAGUGUAGUGGUUAGCAUGUGUGCUUUACAUGCAGAAGGUCCUGGGUUCGUGCCCCAGGUGGAGCCA